This 28-nucleotide small RNA is filed under the name Bombyx mori (domestic silkworm). RNAcentral describes it as "ovarian small RNA-17911". Lineage: Eukaryota; Metazoa; Arthropoda; Insecta; Lepidoptera; Bombycidae. The record is from RNAcentral.
GUGGCGAAUAACAGGAGCCUCGGGACAC